This 460-nucleotide ribosomal RNA is filed under the name uncultured bacterium. Its description in RNAcentral is "partial 16S ribosomal RNA". It matches the Rfam family "Bacterial small subunit ribosomal RNA", at positions 338 to 795 of the family's 1533-position model. The record is from RNAcentral.
CCUACGGGUGGCAGCAGUGAGGAAUAUUGGUCAAUGGGCGCGAGCCUGACCCAGCCACGUAGCGUGAAGGAUGACUGCCCUACGGGUUGUAAACUUCUUUUAUAAAGGAAUAAAGUGAGGCAAGUGUGCCUUUUUGUAUGUACUUUAUGAAUACGGAUCGGCUAACUCCGUGCCAGCAGCUGCGGUAAUACGGAGGAUCCGAGCGUUUUCCGGAUUUAUUGGGUUUAAAGGGAGCGUAGAUGGGUUGUUAAGUCAGUUGUGAAAGUUUGCGGCUCAACCGUAAAAUUGCAAUUGAUACUGGCAGCCUUGAGUACAGUUGAGGUAGGCGGAAUGCGUGGUGUAGCGGUGAAAUACUUAGAUAUCACGAAGAACUCCGAUUGCGAAGGCAGCCUACUAAACUGCCACUGACAUUGAUGCUCGAAAGUGUGGGUAUCAAACAGGAUUAGAUACCCGGGUAGUC